AAACUAACAAGGAUUCCCCUAGUAACGGCGAGUGAAGAGGGAAGAGCCCAAGAUUGAAAGCUGGCGUCUUCGGCGUCCGCAUUGUAAUCUCAAGAAGUGUUUUCCGCUUCGGACCAUGCCUAAGUCCCUUGGAAAAGGGCAUCAUAGAGGGUGAUAAUCCCGUACAUGGCAUGGAGCGCCCGAAGCUUUGUGAUACGCUUUCUAAGAGUCGAGUUGUUUGGGAAUGCAGCUCAAAAUGGGUGGUAAAUGCCAUCUAAGGCUAAAUAUUGGGGAGAGACCGAUAGCGAACAAGUACAGUGAUGGAAAGAUGAAAAGAACUUUGAAAAGAGAGUUAAACAGUACGUGAAAUUGCCAAAAGGGAAGGGUAGGAGGUCAGAGAUGCGGCCUGGGAUUCAGCCUUGCUUUUGCUUGGUGUUUUUCCCAGAUUGCAGGCCAACGUCGGUUUUGGGCACUGGAGAAGGGUAGGAGGAACGUGGCACCUCUCGGGGUGUGUUAUAGCCUCCUACUGGAUACAGCGACCGAGACCGAGGACAGCAGCGUACUCGCAAG
This 549-nucleotide ribosomal RNA is filed under the name Dirkmeia churashimaensis. RNAcentral describes it as "LSU rRNA". It matches the Rfam family "Eukaryotic large subunit ribosomal RNA", at positions 62 to 690 of the family's 3401-position model. Lineage: Eukaryota; Fungi; Basidiomycota; Ustilaginomycetes; Ustilaginales; Ustilaginaceae. The record is from RNAcentral.